RNAcentral lists this transfer-messenger RNA (363 nucleotides) under Salmonella enterica. It matches the Rfam family "transfer-messenger RNA". Rfam says of the family: Bacterial tmRNA, also known as 10Sa RNA or SsrA, is named for its dual tRNA and mRNA-like properties. The record is from RNAcentral. Lineage: Bacteria; Pseudomonadati; Pseudomonadota; Gammaproteobacteria; Enterobacterales; Enterobacteriaceae.
GGGGCUGAUUCUGGAUUCGACGGGAUUUGCGAAACCCAAGGUGCAUGCCGAGGGGCGGUUGGCCUCGUAAAAAGCCGCAAAAAAAUAGUCGCAAACGACGAAACCUACGCUUUAGCAGCUUAAUAACCUGCUUAGAGCCCUCUCUCCCUAGCCUCCGCUCUUAGGACGGGGAUCAAGAGAGGUCAAAUCCAAAAGAGAUCGCGCGGAUGCCCUGCCUGGGGUUGAAGCGUUAAAACGAAUCAGGCUAGUCUGGUAGUGGCGUGUCCGUCCGCAGGUGCCAGGCGAAUGUAAAGACUGACUAAGCAUGUAGUACCGAGGAUGUAGGAAUUUCGGACGCGGGUUCAACUCCCGCCAGCUCCACCA